Molecule: ribosomal RNA, 424 nt
Filed under: uncultured bacterium
Lineage: Bacteria
Description: bacterial SSU rRNA
Rfam family: Bacterial small subunit ribosomal RNA
Source: RNAcentral
UAGGGAAUUUUCCACAAUGGGCGAAAGCCUGAUGGAGCAACGCCGCGUGCAGGAUAAGGCCUUCGGGUUGUAAACUGCUUUUAUUUGUGACGAAUAUGACGGUAGCAAAUGAAUAAGGAUCGGCUAACUCCGUGCCAGCAGCCGCGGUCAUACGGAGGAUCCAAGCGUUAUCCGGAAUUACUGGGCGUAAAGAGUUGCGUAGGUGGCAUUGUAUGUCGGUAGUGAAAGCGUGAGGCUCAACCUCAUAAACAUUAUCGAAACUGCAAGGCUAGAGGACGAGAGAGGUAAUUGGAAUUCCCAGUGUAGGAGUGAAAUCCGUAGAUAUUGGGAGGAACACCGAUGGCGUAGGCAGAUUACUGGCUCGUUCCUGACACUAAGGCACGAAAGCGUGGGGAGCAAACGGGAUUAGAUACCCCCGUAGUCC